RNAcentral lists this ribosomal RNA (30 nucleotides) under Hypogymnia physodes. RNAcentral's name for it is "partial 18S ribosomal RNA". The record is from RNAcentral. Lineage: Eukaryota; Fungi; Ascomycota; Lecanoromycetes; Lecanorales; Parmeliaceae. RNAcentral also lists the same sequence under 3 other names.
GUUUCCGUAGGUGAACCGGAAGGAUCAUUA